AGUGAACGCUGGCGGUAGGCCUAACACAUGCAAGUCGAACGGCAGCACAGUAAGAGCUUGCUCUUACGGGUGGCGAGUGGCGGACGGGUGAGGAAUACAUCGGAAUCUACUUUUUCGUGGGGGAUAACGUAGGGAAACUUACGCUAAUACCGCAUACGACCUACGGGUGAAAGCAGGGGAUCUUCGGACCUUGCGCGAUUGAAUGAGCCGAUGUCGGAUUAGCUAGUUGGCGGGGUAAAGGCCCACCAAGGCGACGAUCCGUAGCUGGUCUGAGAGGAUGAUCAGCCAAACUGGAACGGAGGCACGGUCCAGACUCCUACGGGAGGCAGCAGGGGGGAAUAUUGGACAAUGGGCGCAAGCCUGAUCCAGCCAUACCGCGUGGGUGAAGAAGGCCUUCGGGUUGUAAAGCCCUUUUGUUGGGAAAGAAAAGCAGCAGGUUAAGACCCCGCUGUUCUGACGGUACCCAAAGAAUAAGCACCGGCUAACUUCGU
This 491-nucleotide ribosomal RNA is filed under the name uncultured bacterium. Its description in RNAcentral is "partial 16S ribosomal RNA". It matches the Rfam family "Bacterial small subunit ribosomal RNA", at positions 29 to 506 of the family's 1533-position model. The record is from RNAcentral.